This 254-nucleotide ribosomal RNA is filed under the name uncultured bacterium. RNAcentral describes it as "partial 16S ribosomal RNA". It matches the Rfam family "Bacterial small subunit ribosomal RNA", at positions 524 to 776 of the family's 1533-position model. The record is from RNAcentral.
CACGUAGGGGGCGAGCGUUGUCCGGAUUUACUGGGCGUAAAGGGCGCGUAGGCGGCCACUGCAAGUCAGUUGUGAAAUCUCCGGGCUUAACCCGGAAAGGUCAACUGAUACUGCAGGGCUAGAGUGCAGAAGGGGCAACUGGAAUUCUCGGUGUAGCGGUGAAAUGCGUAGAUAUCGAGAGGAACACCUGCGGCGAAGGCGGGUUGCUGGGCUGACACUGACGCUGAUGUGCGAAAGCUAGGGGAGCGAACGGG